RNAcentral lists this ribosomal RNA (465 nucleotides) under uncultured Klebsiella sp. Its description in RNAcentral is "bacterial SSU rRNA". It matches the Rfam family "Bacterial small subunit ribosomal RNA", at positions 338 to 795 of the family's 1533-position model. Lineage: Bacteria; Pseudomonadati; Pseudomonadota; Gammaproteobacteria; Enterobacterales; Enterobacteriaceae. The record is from RNAcentral.
CCUACGGGUGGCUGCAGUGGGGAAUAUUGCACAAUGGGCGCAAGCCUGAUGCAGCCAUGCCGCGUGUGUGAAGAAGGCCUUCGGGUUGUAAAGCACUUUCAGCGGGGAGGAAGGCGGUGAGGUUAAUAACCUCAUCGAUUGACGUUACCCGCAGAAGAAGCACCGGCUAACUCCGUGCCAGCAGCCGCGGUAAUACGGAGGGUGCAAGCGUUAAUCGGAAUUACUGGGCGUAAAGCGCACGCAGGCGGUCUGUCAAGUCGGAUGUGAAAUCCCCGGGCUCAACCUGGGAACUGCAUUCGAAACUGGCAGGCUAGAGGCUUGUAGAGGGGGGUAGAGUUCCAGGUGUAGCGGUGAGAUGCGUAGAGAUCUGGAGGAAUACCGGUGGCGAAGGCGGCCCCCUGGACAAAGACUGACGCUCAGGUGCGAAAGCGUGGGGAGCAAACAGGAUUAGAUACCCGGGUAGUC